AUGCGGAUGCUGCAGGACGUGCCUGCACUACCCUGCCACCCCUACGUUUCCGGACCAGUACAUCUGCUCCGUCGUGAACACAUGCUUCGUGUCAUACAGGCCGCCGCACAGGUUUUUCCUCUUCGUGCUUGUAUCAGUGGGCUGCGGUGUGGACUUUCAUCUGGUACCCUUCGUGCAGCGGCGUGUCGAGCUGAGUAUCUCCCUUGGUGCCCAGAAUCAUGCCCUUUCCUUGCUCUAGGGAGGGCAAUUUCAUCUUCCGGCGGUCCGGCGCCUUUCGAGCCAAGGCGAGGGGCAGGGGUCCCCUCCGGAUUUGGAGAGGAGUGGCAUGGUUUCGAUGUGCACCUUCCAGGGUAG
Molecule: ribosomal RNA, 354 nt
Filed under: Triticum aestivum (bread wheat)
Lineage: Eukaryota; Viridiplantae; Streptophyta; Magnoliopsida; Poales; Poaceae
Description: partial small subunit ribosomal RNA
Source: RNAcentral